RNAcentral lists this ribosomal RNA (219 nucleotides) under Clostridioides difficile. Its description in RNAcentral is "partial 23S ribosomal RNA". It matches the Rfam family "Bacterial large subunit ribosomal RNA", at positions 2126 to 2343 of the family's 2925-position model. The record is from RNAcentral. Lineage: Bacteria; Bacillati; Bacillota; Clostridia; Peptostreptococcales; Peptostreptococcaceae.
GGUACUACAUGUACAGGAUAGGUGGGAGGCUUUGAAACCAGGACGCCAGUUUUGGCGGAGCCAUCCUUGGGAUACCACCCUUGUAGUACUGGGACUCUAACCAUAGGCCAUGAAUCUGGUCUUGGGACACUGUCAGGUGGGCAGUUUGACUGGGGCGGUCGCCUCCCAAAAGGUAACGGAGGCGCUCAAAGGUUCUCUCAGUACGGUCGGAAAUCGUAC